AACCAUCAGACUGACCCACUGGCUAGGGACUACUACAGUAAACCAUCUGACUGACCCACUGGCUAGGGACUACUACAGUAAACCAUCAGACUGACCCACUGGCUAGGGACUACUACUGUAAACCAUCAGACUGACCAACCUGCUUUGGACUACUAUGGUAAACCAUCAGACUGACCCACUGGCUAGGGACUACUACAGUAAACCAAGAGACUGACCCACUGGCUAGGGACUCCUACUGUAAACCAAGAGACUGACCCACUGGCUAGGGACUCCUACUGUAAACCAAGAGACUGACCCACUGGCUAGGGAAUACUACAGUAAACCAUCAGAUUGACCCACUGGCUAGGGACUACUACUGUAAACCAUCAGACUGACCAACCUGCUAGGGACUACUAUGGAAAACCCUCAGACUGACCCACUGGCUAGGGACUAUGGGAAACCAUCAGACUGACCCACAGGCUCGGGUCUACUACGGUAAACCAUCAGACUGACCGAUAGGCUAGGGACUACUACAGUAAACCAUCAGACUGACCCACUGGCUAGGGACUACUACUGUAAACCAUCAGACUGACCAACCUGCUUUGGUCUACUACUGUAAACCAUCAGACCGACCCACUGGCUAGGGACUACUACGGUAAACCAUCAGACUGACCCACUGGCUAGGGACUACUACGGUAAACCAUCAGACUGACCCACUGGCUAGUGACUACAACGGUUAACCAUCAGACUGACCCACUGGCUAGGCACUACUACAGUAAACCAUCAGACUUACCCACUGGUUAGGAACUACUACAGCAAACCAUCAGACUGACCCACUGGCUAGCGACUGUUACGGUAAAUCAUCAUAUUGACCCACUGGCUAGGACUACUACAGGUAACCAUCAGACUGACCUACUGGCUAGGACUACUACAGGUAACCAUCAGACUGACCUACUGGCUAGGGACUACUACUGGAAACCAUCAGACUGACCAACCUGCUUUGGACUACUUUGGCAAACCCUCAGACUGACCCACUGGCUAGGGCCUACUAUGGCAAACCGUCAGACUGACCCACUGGCUAGGGACUUUGGCAAACCAUCAGACUUACCCACUGGCUAGGGACUAUGGCAAACCAGCAGACUGACCCACUGGCUAGGGUCUCCUACGGUAAACCAAGAGUCUGACCCACUGGCUAGGGAAUACUACAGUAAACCAAGAGACUGACCCACUGGCUAGGUACUACUACAGUAAGCCAUGAGACUGAUUCACUGGCUAGGGACUACUACUGUAAACCAAGAGUCUGACCCACUGGCUAGGGACUAGUAUGGAAAAACCAUCAGACUGACCCACUGGCUAGGACUACUACAGGUAACCAUCAGACUGACCUACUGGCUAGGGACUACUACUGGAAACCAUCAGACUGACCAACCUGCUUUGGACUACUUUGGCAAACCCUCAGACUGACCCACUGGCUAGGGACUUUGGCAAACCAUCAGACUUACCCACUGGCUAGGGACUAGUACGGAAAAACCAUCAGACUGACCCACUGGCUAGGGACUACUACAGUAAACCAAGAGUCUGAUCCACUGGCUAGGGACUAUUACGGUAAACCAUCAGACUGACCCACUGGCUAGGGACUAUUACGGUAAACCAUCAGACUGACCCACUGGCUAGGGACUACUACGGUAAACCAUCAGAUUGACCCACUGGCUAGGGACUAUUACGGUAAACCAUCAGACUGACCCACUGGCUAGGACUACUACAGGUAACCAUCAGACUGACCUACUGGCUAGGGACUACUACUGGAAACCAUCAGACUGACCAACCUGCUUUGGACUACUUUGGCAAACCCUCAGACUGACCCACUGGCUAGGGCCUACUAUGGCAAACCGUCAGACUGACCCACUGGCUAGGGACUUUGGCAAACCAUCAGACUUACCCACUGGCUAGGGACUAUGGCAAACCAGCAGACUGACCCACUGGCUAGGGACUCCUACUGUAAACCCAGAGACUGACCCACUGGCUAGGGACUCCUACUGUAAACCAUCAGACUGACCCACUGGCUAGGGACUACUACUGUAAACCAAGAGACUGACCCACUGGCUAGAAACUACUACAGUAAACCAUCAGACCGACCCAAUGGCUAGGGACUACUACAGUAAACCAUCAGACUGACUCACUGGCUUGGGACAACUACUGUAAACCAUCAGACUGACCCACUGGCUAGGGACUUCUACUGUAAACCAAGAGACUGACCCACUGGCUGGGGAAUACUACGAUAAACCAUCAGACUGACCCGCUGGCUAGGGACUACUACUGUAAACCAUCAGACUGACCAACCUGCUAGGGACUACUAUGGCAAACCCUCAGACUGACCCACUGGCUAGAGACUAUGGCAAACCAUCAGACUGACCCACUGUCUAGGGACUACUACUGUAAAGCAUCAGACUGACCCACAGGCUAGGGACUGCUACAGUAAACCAUCAGACUGACCCACAGGCUAGGGACUACUACUGUAAACCAUCAGACUGACCCACAGGCUAGGGACUACUACAGUAAACCAU
This is a non-coding RNA of Oncorhynchus mykiss (rainbow trout), 2543 nucleotides long. Lineage: Eukaryota; Metazoa; Chordata; Actinopteri; Salmoniformes; Salmonidae. The record is from RefSeq and is a predicted model, not a curated record.